Molecule: ribosomal RNA, 478 nt
Filed under: uncultured bacterium
Lineage: Bacteria
Description: partial 16S ribosomal RNA
Rfam family: Bacterial small subunit ribosomal RNA
Source: RNAcentral
GAUGAACGCUAGCGGCAGGCCUAACACAUGCAAGUCGAGGGAGAAGCCCUUUCGGGGGCAGAAACCGGCGCACGGGUGCGUAACGCGUAUGCAACCUACCUUUCACAGGGGGAUAGCCCGAAGAAAUUUGGAUUAAUACCCCAUAAUAUUAUUGGAUGGCAUCAUUUGAUAAUUAAAACUGCGGUGGUGAAAGAUGGGCAUGCGUCCUAUUAGCUAGUUGGAGUGGUAACGGCACCCCAAGGCUACGAUAGGUAGGGGUCCUGAGAGGGAGAUCCCCCACACUGGUACUGAGACAGAGACCAGACUCCUACGGGAGGCAGCAGUGAGGAAUAUUGGUCAAUGGUCGGAAGACUGAACCAGCCAUGCCGCGUGCAGGAAGAAUGCCUUAUGGGUUGUAAACUGCUUUUAUAUGGGAAGAAUAAGGCGUACGUGUACGUUGAUGACGGUACCAUAUGAAUAAGCAUCGGCUAACUCCGUG